RNAcentral lists this ribosomal RNA (270 nucleotides) under Triticum aestivum (bread wheat). RNAcentral describes it as "partial small subunit ribosomal RNA". The record is from RNAcentral. Lineage: Eukaryota; Viridiplantae; Streptophyta; Magnoliopsida; Poales; Poaceae.
AUGAUUGACACAUAUGGUCUGCAUAAGAACAAUUAUCUCACCCAGAUAUAUGAGACAAGAGAGAAAUGGGCGAAGCCAUAUUUCCAUGGCAAGUUUUGUGCUAAGAUGACCAGUACGCAACGCAGUGAAAGUGCCAACCACAUGUUGAAGACUUAUGUUCCAGCUAGUUGUCCAAUGCAUCUAUUUGUUCGUCAGUACAUGCGGCUUCUUUUUGAUAGAGAGGCAAGUGAGAACUAUGAAGAGAGGAGGACGAAAAUAGUAAGUUUUUGA